GACGAACGCUGGCGGCGUGCUUAACACAUGCAAGUCGAACGGAAAGGCCCUGCUUUUGUGGGGUGCUCGAGUGGCGAACGGGUGAGUAACACGUGAGUAACCUGCCCUUGACUUUGGGAUAACUUCAGGAAACUGGGGCUAAUACCGGAUAGGAGCUCCUGCUGCAUGGUGGGGGUUGGAAAGUUUCGGCGGUUGGGGAUGGACUCGCGGCUUAUCAGCUUGUUGGUGGGGUAGUGGCUUACCAAGGCUUUGACGGGUAGCCGGCCUGAGAGGGUGACCGGCCACAUUGGGACUGAGAUACGGCCCAGACUCCAACGGGAGGCAGCAGUGGGGAAUAUUGCACAAUGGGCGGAAGCCUGAUGCAGCAACGCCGCGUGCGGGAUGACGGCCUUCGGGUUGUAAGCCGCUUUCGCCUGUGACGAAGCGUGAGUGACGGUAAUGGGUAAAGAAGCUCCGGCUAACUACGUG
This 468-nucleotide ribosomal RNA is filed under the name uncultured bacterium. RNAcentral describes it as "partial 16S ribosomal RNA". It matches the Rfam family "Bacterial small subunit ribosomal RNA", at positions 28 to 507 of the family's 1533-position model. The record is from RNAcentral.